GAUGAACGCUGGCGGCGUGCUUAACACAUGCAAGUCGAACGGAAAGGCUCCUGCUUGCAGGGGUACUCGAGUGGCGAACGGGUGAGUAACGCGUGGGUGAUCUGCCCUGCACUUCGGGAUAAGCCUGGGAAACUGGGUCUAAUACCGGAUAGGACCACAUUUUGGAUGGUGUGGUGGAAAGUUUUUCGGUGUGGGAUGAGCUCGCGGCCUAUCAGCUUGUUGGUGGGGUAAUGGCCUACCAAGGCGUCGACGGGUAGCCGGCCUGAGAGGGUGUACGGCCACAUUGGGACUGAGAUACGGCCCAGACUCCUACGGGAGGCAGCAGUGGGGAAUAUUGCACAAUGGGCGCAAGCCUGAUGCAGCGACGCCGCGUGGGGGAUGACGGCCUUCGGGUUGUAAACUCCUUUCGCUAGGGACGAAGCGCAAGUGACGGUACCUGGAGAAGAAGCACCGGCUAACUACGUG
Molecule: ribosomal RNA, 465 nt
Filed under: uncultured bacterium
Lineage: Bacteria
Description: partial 16S ribosomal RNA
Rfam family: Bacterial small subunit ribosomal RNA
Source: RNAcentral